UCAAGCAAGGUUGUAAUCCUCAGAUAUACAAACUUUAUUCUGUUAUAUAUCAAUUCUUCGACUCAUUGUCAGAUCGCGUAUUUAUCUGGCGUCAUACUGUCGUUGGCUGAACAUGCGAAGGGUCGUGUUUCUACUCGCAGAUAAUCACGGGAGAGUUCGCAUUCAAGAAUAUUUUGAAAGACGAGAAACCUUUUUACUCUCUGUUCCUUAUCUUACACACAAAUUAACUUUUGAAUUAACAUACCUCCAUUUUUAUACGUUUAAUGAUCUUUUAACAAUUAAAUCAAAAUUGUUCAACAUGUUUUAUUAUUAAAUUAUUAAAGUUAACGUGAACGUAGCAUAUCUUAACUUCUGUUCUCUCUCUCUCUCUCUCUCUCUCUCUCUCUCGUCCCCUCUCUCUUUCUCUGUCACACACGCACACACACUGAUGCUGAUACUUCGUUCAACUUGAGUGACUCUAGUACUCCGAGUACGUCAAGUUCACUCAAACAUUUAUGAGUCCCGGAGAAAUUACAUCAAAUUCGAUUUGGUAAUCAGACAAAUAGCGCAUUCCUGCGCGAGAUAAUAUAAUACGUCGCCGAAAUAUUUUCCGUCACAGAAACCAGCUGAUUGCAAAAUUAAACAACCGAGACGGGCCGCGAUAACAGAGUUUUAUCACAAAGAUAAUAAUUUUAAAGUCUGGACGUCCUCGACGAUACAAACUUGUUGCAACAUCUAAAUUUAAUUCACAACGACUGUAUUAAUUUGCACUAUAAUUUCAUUCAUAAUUUUAAAUUAAUCACCAAACUUUCUAAAAUUAUUAUUUAUUGAGACAUCAUAUCUUCUAAUACUUAAAUUACUUUUGCAAUAUUUCUAUUAGACACGGUUAUAUUAUUUAAUACAAACUGAUUUGAAGAAACGUUAGCCAAGAACUGCGAGCAGUCUUCGAUAAACAAGCCGUAUAAACAAUUGCGUAUAAGAUGAGAUGCAUGUAUACAUCGAAAUCUGCUUUCGUCGACGGAAGCGGCGCGACGGAAUGACUGCUGGGUUUACUGAUUAUUCCGAUUUGCUCAAUUUGACCCGGGCAUGAGAAGAGCCACGUGCCGAGUGUUGGUUGAAGAUUCCGCGGUGUUGCCAGUCCACUGUUGUCUUCAUUCCAACCAUUGACAUCGUUGAAGUACUGCUCGACAAGAUGGCAACGUUGACAGUGUCGCGCGAGCGUGCAGCUGGCAUGGUGCUCCGAGUCCGACGCCUAAAUCGAGAGGCAGUUUACAGUGGUCCAGCGGAUGCUGAGGAAGCUCGGGAGCUGCCGCGAGGGAACCGAUAUGGUAGCGCGGGCGAUCGUAGAAAAUGGUACGGAAGAAUGGAGAACGGAGGGUUCUGUAUCUACUCGCGCAUGGCACGCAUAUAUGCGCAUGUAUUUAUAGCUUCUCGACUAGCCGGCAUCGGGAGAAGACCACGGGACGCGUGUCUUACUCCGUGUUUGGACGCCUCCGAUAGCGGGUACCAAAAUGGCGACACGUCGCGGAAACUGCGGCCAGGUAAUACGAAACCGUUGCACUACAUUUCCCGCGGAUUAAUCACCGAUGACGCAUAUGGCUCGCCAGACUGACCUUGCACUGUGAUAUUAAUAGAUAGCAAAUCGCUGUGCAAAUACUGAUUGCGAUUGCGCUGCUACAUUGAGUUCGUCGCACUUGCUUGUUAGCUUGAAAGGUAGAAACGUCGUGACAACAUGUAUUUCAAAUCUGGCGCCACAGACACUAUAUAGCGAUUUCUCUGGUUAUGUUCGUUCGUCGGCCGCACUGUGUCACUAACUGCCAACUGUUCGGAGUGGUAAAUCGACACGUUACACGCGAGGUUUUGAGAAAAGGGAGCAGCCGGCAUCGUGACCUGUUCGCAGAGUGGAGGGGGUCUGCAAUGAUGAGACGACGCCAUUAACCUUACGUCCAACGACGCGUAUGGCACUGUUUGUCAGUUCUGCUGUUAUCCCGAGGCGAUUCGAGCAUUCGAAUCUUGGUGAUCGUGGCGGUAGGCGACGUUUCCGGAAGAAAAUCGAUUGAAGUCAUUUUUCCCGUCCGCACCCCUGAGAAAUC
Molecule: RNA transcript, 2072 nt
Organism: Solenopsis invicta (red fire ant)
Lineage: Eukaryota; Metazoa; Arthropoda; Insecta; Hymenoptera; Formicidae
Gene: pasi1
Exons: 5
Source: RefSeq, a predicted model, not a curated record